CAUGUUGCUUCCCCAGACCAGUGGCCACUGCUGCCAGCCCAGCCCCUAAUGGGUUCCUGGGUUGAGGUGUCUGGGGAAGGGCUCAAUAUCAAACUUUUCAACCCACUAGUCGUCUGAGAAGGCCAUGUGCCGCAAUAUUUAAACAAGUUAAAACUUUCAACAACGGAUCUCUUGGCUCUCGCAUCGAUGAAGAACGCAGCGAAAUGCGAUAAGUAAUGUGAAUUGCAGAAUUCAGUGAAUCAUCGAAUCUUUGAACGCACAUUGCGCCCUUUGGUAUUCCUUAGGGCAUGCCUGUUCGAGCGUCACUAAAAACCGACUCACAUAUCGUGUGGUAUUGGUAGAAGUGGAUAGUACUAACACUACUUUGUCUUACUCUGCUGAAAUGAAUAGGCCAGAAAAGUGGACCAUGGUAAUAGAUUCCAGGAGUGUUUUAAAAUGCUAUACUAGUCUUAUCCAAGUCAUAUUCUGAGCCACUGGACCCCCCAUUUAGUCCAAACAACAGUGGUUGACCUCGGAUCAGGUAGGGAUACCCGCUGAACUUAAGCAUAUCAAUAAGCGGAGGAAAAGAAACCAACAGGGAUUGCCUUAGUAACGGCGAGUGAAGCGGCAAAAGCUCAAAUUUGAAAUCUGGUGCCUCUGGUGCCCGAGUUGUACUUUGGAGAGGCAUCUUCUGGAGGGACCCAGCCUAUGUGCCUUGGAACAGGACGUCAUAGAGGGUGAGAAUCCCGUCCUUGGCUGGAUGUUCCCUCCUGUAUGUAGUGUCUUCAACGAUUCGAGUUGUUUUGGGAAUGCAGCUCAAAAUGGGGU
RNAcentral lists this ribosomal RNA (807 nucleotides) under uncultured Tuber. RNAcentral's name for it is "eukaryotic LSU rRNA". The stretch from base 507 to 807 matches the Rfam family "Eukaryotic large subunit ribosomal RNA", at positions 1 to 298 of the family's 3401-position model. The record is from RNAcentral. Lineage: Eukaryota; Fungi; Ascomycota; Pezizomycetes; Pezizales; Tuberaceae.